UACGAAGGGGGCUAGCGUUGUUCGGAAUCACUGGGCGUAAAGGGCGCGUAGGCGGCCACUGCAAGUCGGUUGUGAAAUCUCCGGGCUUAACCCGGAAAGGUCAAUCGAUACUGCAGGGCUAGAGUGCAGAAGGGGCAACUGGAAUUCUCGGUGUAGCGGUGAAAUGCGUAGAUAUCGAGAGGAACACCUGCGGCGAAGGCGGGUUGCUGGGCUGACACUGACGCUGAAGCGCGAAAGCUAGGGGAGCGAACGGG
This 254-nucleotide ribosomal RNA is filed under the name uncultured bacterium. Its description in RNAcentral is "partial 16S ribosomal RNA". It matches the Rfam family "Bacterial small subunit ribosomal RNA", at positions 524 to 776 of the family's 1533-position model. The record is from RNAcentral.